UGGAGGACAUAAGCUGUAACUAGAAGGUAGAGAAUCACCAACAACACCAAUGUAGAGGACAUAAGCUGUAACUAGAAGGUAGAGAAUCACCAACAACACCAAUGUAGAGGACAUAAGCUGUAACUAGAAGGUAGAGAAUCACCAACAACACCAAUGUGGAGGACAUAAGCUGUAACUAGAAGGUAGAGAAUCACCAACAACACCAAUGUGGAGGACAUAAGCUGUAACUAGAAGGUAGAGAAUCACCAACAACACCAAUGUGGAGGACAUAAGCUGUAACUAGAAGGUAGAGAAUCACCAACAACACCAAUGUGGAGGACAUAAGCUGUAACUAGAAGGUAGAGAAUCACCAACAACACCAAUGUGGAGGACAUAAGCUGUAACUAGAAGGUAGAGAAUCACCAACAACACCAAUGUGGAGGACAUAAGCUGUAACUAGAAGGUAGAGAAUCACCAACAACACCAAUGUGGAGGACAUAAGCUGUAACUAGAAGGUAGAGAAUCACCAACAACACCAAUGUGGAGGACAUAAGCUGUAACUAGAAGGUAGAGAAUCACCAACAACACCAAUGUGGAGGACAUAAGCUGUAACUAGAAGGUAGAGAAUCACCAACAACACCAAUGUGGAGGACAUAAGCUGUAACUAGAAGGUAGAGAAUCACCAACAACACCAAUGUGGAGGACAUAAGCUGUAACUAGAAGGUAGAGAAUCACCAACAACACCAAUGUGGAGGACAUAAGCUGUAACUAGAAGGUAGAGAAUCACCAACAACACCAAUGUGGAGGACAUAAGCUGUAACUAGAAGGUAGAGAAUCACCAACAACACCAAUGUGGAGGACAUAAGCUGUAACUAGAAGGUAGAGAAUCACCAACAACACCAAUGUGGAGGACAUAAGCUGUAACUAGAAGGUAGAGAAUCACCAACAACACCAAUGUGGAGGACAUAAGCUGUAACUAGAAGGUAGAGAAUCACCAACAACACCAAUGUGGAGGACAUAAGCUGUAACUAGAAGGUAGAGAAUCACCAACAACACCAAUGUGGAGGACAUAAGCUGUAACUAGAAGGUAGAGAAUCACCAACAACACCAAUGUGGAGGACAUAAGCUGUAACUAGAAGGUAGAGAAUCACCAACAACACCAAUGUGGAGGACAUAAGCUGUAACUAGAAGGUAGAGAAUCACCAACAACACCAAU
Oncorhynchus keta (chum salmon) is the source of this 1195-nucleotide long non-coding RNA. RefSeq lists it as uncharacterized. The transcript is spliced from 8 exons. The record is from RefSeq and is a predicted model, not a curated record. NCBI's taxonomy places the organism in Eukaryota, Metazoa, Chordata, Actinopteri, Salmoniformes, Salmonidae.